Molecule: long non-coding RNA, 249 nt
Filed under: Mus pahari (shrew mouse)
Lineage: Eukaryota; Metazoa; Chordata; Mammalia; Rodentia; Muridae
Description: lncRNA (MGP_PahariEiJ_G0004071.1)
Source: RNAcentral
AGAAAAGGUGUUUAUCGCUUACCUGUUUUCAUGGAACACUUGCUUGAACCAUGCUAAAGACUCACAAUCCUACUGAUGGACAACUGUAGUGUUUGAAUGAGAGGUACGCACAGCCAUAGCCAGUUUUCUGGAGACCCAAACUCAAGAUCUCAUGAUGAGCAUCACAGAAGGCCCAUUCAGCCCAAGCUAUAUAUGGAAUCCUUUCAAGAACCAACCAACAGUAAUAAACAAUGCUUGCCUUCCACUCUA